ACAUGACUCUCGGCAAUGGAUAUCUCGGCUCUCGCAUCGAUGAAGAGCGCAGCGAAAUGCGAUACGUGGUGCGAAUUGCAGAAUCCCGUGAACCAUCGAGUUUUUGAACGCAAGUUGCGCCCGAGGCCAGCCGGCCAAGGGCACGUCCUCCUGGGCGUCA
This 160-nucleotide ribosomal RNA is filed under the name Oreorchis patens subsp. coreana. RNAcentral describes it as "5.8S ribosomal RNA". It matches the Rfam family "5.8S ribosomal RNA". From Rfam's summary of the family: 5.8S ribosomal RNA (5.8S rRNA) is a component of the large subunit of the eukaryotic ribosome. It is transcribed by RNA polymerase I as part of the 45S precursor that also contains 18S and 28S rRNA. Lineage: Eukaryota; Viridiplantae; Streptophyta; Magnoliopsida; Asparagales; Orchidaceae. The record is from RNAcentral.